This 270-nucleotide ribosomal RNA is filed under the name uncultured bacterium. Its description in RNAcentral is "partial 16S ribosomal RNA". It matches the Rfam family "Bacterial small subunit ribosomal RNA", at positions 521 to 789 of the family's 1533-position model. The record is from RNAcentral.
UAAUACGGGGGGAGCAAGCGUUGUUCGGAUUUACUGGGCGUAAAGGGCGCGUAGGCGGCCACCGCAAGUCGACUGUGAAAUCUCCGGGCUUAACCCGGAAAGGUCAGCCGAUACUGCGGGGCUAGAGUGCAGAAGGGGCAACUGGAAUUCUCGGUGUAGCGGUGAAAUGCGUAGAUAUCGAGAGGAACACCUGCGGCGAAGGCGGGUUGCUGGGCUGACACUGACGCUGAGGCGCGAAAGCUAGGGGAGCGAACGGGAUUAGAUACCCCG